RNAcentral lists this ribosomal RNA (496 nucleotides) under uncultured bacterium. Its description in RNAcentral is "partial 16S ribosomal RNA". It matches the Rfam family "Bacterial small subunit ribosomal RNA", at positions 28 to 506 of the family's 1533-position model. The record is from RNAcentral.
GAUGAACGCUGGCGGCGUGCCUAAUACAUGCAAGUCGAGCGAACAGACGAGGAGCUUGCUCCUCUGACGUUAGCGGCGGACGGGUGAGUAACACGUGAAUAACCUACCUAUAAGACUGGGCUAACUUCGGGAAACCGGAGCUAAUACCGGAUAAUAUAUUGAACCGCAUGGUUCAAUAGUGAAAGACGGUUUUGCUGUCACUUAUAGAUGGAUCCGCGCCGCAUUAGCUAGUUGGUAAGGUAACGGCUUACCAAGGCAACGAUGCGUAGCCGACCUGAGAGGGUGAUCGGCCACACUGGAGCUGAGAGACGGUCCAGACUCCUACGGGAGGCAGCAGUAGGGAGUCUGCCGCAAGGGGCGAAAGCCUGACGAAGCAACGCCGCGUGAGUGAUGAAGGUCUUCGGAUCGUAAACCGCUGUUAGUAGGGAAGAACAAAUGUGUAAGUAACUAUGCACGUCUUGACGGUACCGAAUCAGAAAGCCACGGCUAACUACGU